UACGUAGGGGGCUAGCGUUGUCCGGAAUCAUUGGGCGUAAAGAGCGUGUAGGCGGUCCGGUAAGUCCGCUGUGAAAGUCGGGGGCUCAACCCUCGAAUGCCGGUGGAUACUGUCGGGCUAGAGUGCGGAAGAGGCGAGUGGAAUUCCUGGUGUAGCGGUGAAAUGCGCAGAUAUCAGGAGGAACACCUAUUGCGAAGGCAGCUCGCUGGGACGUUACUGACGCUGGAGACGCGAAAGCGUGGGGAGCAAACAGG
Molecule: ribosomal RNA, 254 nt
Filed under: uncultured bacterium
Lineage: Bacteria
Description: partial 16S ribosomal RNA
Rfam family: Bacterial small subunit ribosomal RNA
Source: RNAcentral